GCUCAGGCCAUUCCUGGUGCCCUGGCCUCCUGUACUGAGCUGUGUGAGCUCUUCUGCCCAGGCAGGCCCCCUGGCAUUGACCGGCAUAGACAGUGAGCCUGGAAGAAGACUUGCCUUGGUCCCACUGUCCCUGGGCCAGUGUCCAUCAGCCAGGUGCCCAGCCCCCGGUGCACUGAAGCUCGGCCCUCCCUGGCACUCUGGUCUCCUGCACUGAGCUGUGUGAACUCUUCCACCCAUGAGGGCCCCCUGGCCUUGAGAGUAUAGGUGAGCGGAUCCUGCUGGGCUCAUGGACCAGGCCACGUGGGGUCACUGAGGGUCAGCCUUCAGGACAGGAGGGAUUCCUCAGGGAGACAACCUGAAUCCCCACUGGUGAGGGAUUGGUUCUCCAGGAGGGCUGUCUCCUUGGGAAUCUGACCCAAGGAGGACACCUUCCUUGAAGCCCUGCAGGAGUGACAGUGGUCCAGGCAGGAAAGGGUUCCAUUAGUCCCAUGCAGGGCAGCUCCCAGCUGAGACUCGGUGCUAGGGUCUGGCCUUGAGGACUGCCCAGGCCACAUGAGGCAGGGUCCCAGUCUGCUCUUUCCAGCGUAUGCUUGGAGAGGGAGCCUGGGUAGGCCCCCUCCCUGCACAGGGGCAGGCUGUGCAUCUGCCGGGUCUGCAGCGGUGCCUGCCUUCAGGGCCAGCCUCCUUGGUUGGCCUGAGCUGGAUAGUGGCCUUGGCCCCACCCAGGGGUCACAGUGCAGCCCAGGAAUUGUAGGGGAGCCGGCAUGGGGAGUGGAAGUGCUCCAGGGGCUUGCAGUAGGGCACAGCCUGGGCAUCUUGCUUGAGCCCAGUGACCAGCCUGCCCUCUUUUCCAGGGUUCAGUGGCAGGGAGGACCAAGGGCCCCCACGUCUAUGACUAUCACUGUUUCACAUGGAUCCCAUCACGUGGGUCCAUGGAGGGAGAGAAUGUGUGAGUUAGCACCCCCUGCCUCCUUUCCCACACGGAGGCAUGAGGUUCUGUUCAGACACUUUUCCCUGUCCCUCCAGAUGGUGACCCUGAAGGAGGACUUGUGUUGGGCCCAAUGGCCCGGAGCCAGUGUCUGUCAGCCAGGUCCCCAGCCCCUGGCACGCUGAAGUUUGGGCCCUUCCUGGCACCCUGUUCUAUCGGGGGAACCCACCCCCAAUAAUUCAAUGU
Molecule: long non-coding RNA, 1174 nt
Organism: Nomascus leucogenys (northern white-cheeked gibbon)
Lineage: Eukaryota; Metazoa; Chordata; Mammalia; Primates; Hylobatidae
Exons: 4
Source: RefSeq, a predicted model, not a curated record